AGAGUUUGAUCAUGGCUCAGGACGAACGCUGGCGGCGUGGAUUAGGCAUGCAAGUCGAACGGUAUAAACCUUUCGGGGUUUAGAGAGUGGCGAACGGGUGAGUAACACGUAGGUAAUCUACCCUCAAAACGGGGACAACCCAGGGAAACUUGGGCUAAUACCGGAUGCGUGCAAGCAAUGUUUUGGCUGUUAAUGCUAUUCACGGAAGUGAGUAGUGUUAAUGGUUGAGAGCAUUAUUUGCAUAAAAGGUGGCAUAUGCUGCCGUUUGAGGAUGAGCCUGCGUCCUAUUAGUUAGUUGGUGAGGUAAUGGCUUACCAAGGCGAUGAUAGGUAGGCGGCCUUAACGGGUGGUCGCCCACACUGGGAUUGAGAGACGGCCCAGACUCCUACGGGAGGCAGCAGUCGAGAAUAGUCUACAAUGGACGGAAGUCUGAUAGUGCGACGCCGCGUGAACGAAGAAUCCCUUCGGGGUGUAAAGUUCUUUUAUACGUGAGCAGUGCCCUUUAUAUGAAUAGUAUAGAGGGAGGGAUUUAAGCGUAUGAAUAAGCAACGGCUAACUCCGUGCCAGCAGCCGCGGUAACACGGGGGUUGCAAGCGUUGUCCGGAAUUACUAGGCGUAAAGUGCAGGUAGGCGGAUAGAUAAGUUUAAGGUUAAAGGCUACGGCUUACCCGUAGUAAGGCGUUAGAUACUGUUUAUCUGGAAUGCGGUUGAGGGAGACAGAAUUCCUGGUGUAGCGGUGGAAUGCGCAGAGAUCAGGAGGAAUACCGAAGGCGAAGGCAGUCUUCUAAGCCAAUAUUGACGCUAAACUGCGAAGGUGUGGGGAUCAAACAGGAUUAGAUACCCUGGUAGUCCACACAGUAAACGAUAAUCACUAGGUGUUGGGUUCGUAUAGGACUCGGUGCCGGAGCUAACGCGAUAAGUGAUUCGCCUGGGGAGUACGAUCGCAAGGGUUGAAACUCAAAUGAAUUGACGG
RNAcentral lists this ribosomal RNA (973 nucleotides) under bacterium enrichment culture clone L35B_155. RNAcentral's name for it is "bacterial SSU rRNA". It matches the Rfam family "Bacterial small subunit ribosomal RNA", at positions 8 to 916 of the family's 1533-position model. The record is from RNAcentral.